CCACGAUGCACGCGCCCCCAGGGCAGCACCCACGCGCCCCUCGUCCUUUCUCCCUUAUCCCCACCCCCACCGCACGUCUCUCUCUCCCUCUUGUUUCUCUCCCACUCGAUCCAAAUCGAGCACGCCCCCCGGCCAUGGCCUCGCACCCAACCACUUCGCGGCCACCUCCCCCGUCGCCACUGUAGGCCCGCCGGCGGCCGCGGCCACCUCCCCCAUCGCCAUCGUAGGCCUCGCCGGCGCCCGCCACCACCUUGCUAGCCGCCAUGUCGCCGGCCGGCCCCGGCCACGCUGGCCAUCAUCUCGCCCGCCGGCCCCGGCCUGGUCACCCCCGGCGGCCUCCGCGCCCCGGCGCUCGUCACCCUCGGCAGUCUUCGCGCCCCGUUGCCCCCGGCGGCCCCGACCCCGUCACCCCCACCGGUCUCCACCCCGGGCACCGGCCGCGGCCUCGAGGUCGCGUGCUCUGCCUCGCGAGCUCCACCGCGACAGCAGCCGGGGACUCCGCCUUGCGAGCACUGCCCAUCCAUGACCUCCCUUGCGUGCCUCCCGAGCGUGGCUGGGACGGAGUCGCGCGGCUAAGCAGGUCCAGACGGCGGCGCGCGGCUGAGUGGGUCCAGACGGUGGCGCGACGAGCAGGACCGGGAGGCAGCGGGACGAGCAGGACAGGGAGGUAGAGUGGCGCGGCGGGCGUCGGGCUGGAAGUUUGGGCGAGCAAGCCACUCCAGCGAAGAAGAAGGACCCGAUUGCUUUUCCAUUUUAUGUUUUAGGGUCCUUUGUGUAAAUUAGGGUCCUUUGUGUAAAUUUGAAGGACUAUUCUCUAACUUUAGUUCUCUGGCGGUCCUAUUUACACUUUGUACUCACUAAUGAUGAAUGAAAGGCAGUUGGUACGGACAGGCCAGAAAUAUUAGAUAUGGCACUGCACUUGCAUGCGUUGACCGCGUCGUUCGGGGGAGCAACGCGGCUGUGUUUUCUUUAAUUUGAC
Molecule: ribosomal RNA, 979 nt
Filed under: Triticum aestivum (bread wheat)
Lineage: Eukaryota; Viridiplantae; Streptophyta; Magnoliopsida; Poales; Poaceae
Description: partial small subunit ribosomal RNA
Source: RNAcentral